RNAcentral lists this ribosomal RNA (913 nucleotides) under uncultured marine archaeon. Its description in RNAcentral is "bacterial SSU rRNA". It matches the Rfam family "Archaeal small subunit ribosomal RNA", at positions 1 to 921 of the family's 1478-position model. The record is from RNAcentral.
UUCCGGUUGAUCCCGCCGGACCUGACUGCUAUCGGAUUGAUACUAAGCCAUGCGAGUCUUUGUAGUAAUACAAGGCAUACGGCUCAGUAACGCGUAGUCAACCUACCCUAUGGACAAGAAUAAUCUCGGGAAACUGAGCAUAAUUCUUGAUAGAUCAUAAUGCCUGGAAUGGUUUAUGGUUAAAAUGAUUCGUCGCCAUAGGAUGGGACUGCGGCCUAUCAGCUUGUUGGUGAGGUAAUGGCCCACCAAGGCGAUUACAGGUACGGGCUCUGAGAGGAGAAGCCCGGAGAUGGGUACUGAGACAAGGACCCAGGCCCUAUGGGGCGCAGCAGGCGAGAAAACUUUGCAAUGUGCGAAAGCACGACAAGGUUAGUCCGAGUGAUUUCUGCUAAAGAGAUCUUUUGCUAGUUAUAAAACCACUAGUGAAUAAGGGGUGGGCAAGUUCUGGUGUCAGCCGCCGCGGUAAAACCAGCACCUCAAGUGGUCAGGAUGAUUAUUGGGCCUAAAGCAUCCGUAGCCGGCUCUGUAAGUUUUCGGUUAAAUCUAUACGCUCAACGUAUGGGCUGCCGAAAAUACUGUAGAGAUAGGGAGUGGGAGAGGUAGACGGUACUCGGUAGGAAGGGGUAAAAUCCUUUGAUCUAUCGAUGACCACCUGUGGCGAAGGCGGUCUACCAGAACACGUUCGACGGUGAGGGAUGAAAGCUGGGGGAGCAAACCGGAUUAGAUACCCGGGUAGUCCCAGCUGUAAACGAUGCAGACUCGAUGAUGCAUUGGCAUAUAGCCAGUGCAGUGUCGCAGGGAAGCCGUUAAGUCUGCCGCCUGGGAAGUACGUACGCAAGUAUGAAACUUAAAGGAAUUGGCGGGGGAGCACCACAAGGGGUGAAGCCUGCGGUUCAAUUGGAGUCAACGCCGG